AGCUGGUUCUGAUGUUAAUAUUUUAGAGAGAGUGGGGAAAAGAAAUAGCACUUUGCUAUGAGUCGAAAGCUUUCCUGUCAGUUUUGUUCAUUGUAACGUUUGCUCCUGAUGAGAAACACAGCCACAGGGGGAUGACAGAAUUAAGCAAACUGAACUUAUGCACUUUGAUGCAACAAGUCCUUACCAUUACAUGUGUAGCCAUUUUAAGAUUUAUGGAAGGCAUUCGGCCUUGGCAGAUGAGUGGAGUGAAGAGGAAGUCAUGUAAAGUGAUGAGCAGAAACCAAGGAUCGAACAUCAUUUUUGAGCAGCAGCCUGGCAACAGAGCGUAAAGAAUGCACAUGGCUACAGGGCUGCAGGCCUGAUCGACAGGGUAAUCAGCGGCAUGGGACACACCUGGGCCCGGUGUGCCCCAUGCAUAUAAGCCAGAGCAGCAGUCAGUCUUGGGUUGGACCUCCUCCUCUCACAGCUUCCUUCCUUCCUUCCUUCCUAUCCUUUCCUUCCUUCCUUCCUUCCUUCCUUCCGUUUGUUUGGUUUCUUGUCUUUGUUUUUACAGCAUCCAUGCAGCACAUUUUCACUCAUCCACUCUCUACACUAAUGACUUUACAGAUUCUUCCCACUCAUUGGUUUUGCUUAUUAAUAAAUCAC
Micropterus dolomieu (smallmouth bass) is the source of this 645-nucleotide long non-coding RNA. RefSeq lists it as uncharacterized. The transcript has 3 exons. NCBI's taxonomy places the organism in Eukaryota, Metazoa, Chordata, Actinopteri, Centrarchiformes, Centrarchidae. The record is from RefSeq and is a predicted model, not a curated record.